Molecule: long non-coding RNA, 761 nt
Organism: Cyprinus carpio carpio
Lineage: Eukaryota; Metazoa; Chordata; Actinopteri; Cypriniformes; Cyprinidae
Source: Ensembl
AUGGCUCUGUUUACAAGUUGGGACGCUGCAGUUACAAUGUCAGCCACCGAGUGGGCCUGUAAUGAACGAAGGAUUACCUGCCGCCCAACCUGUAAACUGACCUCAUUACACCCCCAUGACAUGCUCAACGGGGUCACCCCUCAAUGGCUAAGCCCCCCAUUCACAUGAAAAGAACUAGAGCACAGCUUAUCAGACCUCCCAAGUAGCUCAACACAACCCCGCUGUCUCUACCUGCACACCAAAGUAAAAUUCCUUUUCCUUCUAAAGCCAGACAAUUAAAACCACUGGGGCUUGAGGGGGAUUUUGGUCAUCUCCAGAGUAAAGGCUAUUGCUGCUCAGGAAUCAGCCUAUCAUUGUUUGAUCUUUCAGAUUAUGAAUGAUAAAGGUCAGAUCGUUCCCAGAUCUGGCCCUGUAUUGGCAUUUAAGGUUAUGAAUGGAGCCUCACUGUUCUUCUUGGUGAUUGACUUCCAUUGGUGGUUGAUUGUUGGCACCUGUCUGAUAUAAUGGCCUCUGUUGUAUGGCCAUUAUUUGAAUGUAAUAAGGUUUAACUGAGCGUGGUGAGACCAAACCAUAAGCAGUGCCCAUACUGCACAAGCUCAAGUAGUUAUAGAUUUUCAGUUCAUCCGAGGGUUUUUGGAGAAUAUUUGUAAACAUGAAUCAAUAUAAAACUGUAUGUUUUCCCUACAGUCGGGACUAUAGGUAUGAGUGGUACCAUAGGUAAGACAAAAUAAUAAUAAAUAUUAAUAAUAAUGCAAUGUUUU